GAUGAACGCUAGCGGCAGGCCUAAUACAUGCAAGUCGGACGGGAUUCAGGAGCUUGCUUCUGAUGAGAGUGGCGCACGGGUGCGUAACACGUAUGUAACCUACCUUUAUCAGGGGGAUAGCCUCUCGAAAGAGAGAUUAAGCCCGCAUAAAAUCACAGCACAGCAUUGUGUAAUGAUCAAAUAUUUAUAGGAUAAAGAUGGGCAUGCGGAACAUUAGCUAGAUGGCGGGGUAACGGCCCACCAUGGCGACGAUGUUUAGGGGAUCUGAGAGGAUGGCCCCCCACACUGGUACUGAGACACGGACCAGACUCCUACGGGAGGCAGCAGUAAGGAAUAUUGGUCAACGGGCGGAAGCCUGAACCAGCCAUGCCGCGUGCAGGAAGACGGCCCUACGGGUUGUAAACUGCUUUUAUACGGGAAUAAACCCAGAUACGUGUAUCUGGCUGAAUGUACUGUAAGAAUAAGGAUCGGCUAACUCCGUG
RNAcentral lists this ribosomal RNA (482 nucleotides) under uncultured bacterium. RNAcentral's name for it is "partial 16S ribosomal RNA". It matches the Rfam family "Bacterial small subunit ribosomal RNA", at positions 28 to 507 of the family's 1533-position model. The record is from RNAcentral.